This 106-nucleotide non-coding RNA is filed under the name Geobacter metallireducens. Its description in RNAcentral is "TPP sequence". It matches the Rfam family "TPP riboswitch aptamer (THI element)". Rfam says of the family: Vitamin B(1) in its active form thiamin pyrophosphate (TPP) is an essential coenzyme that is synthesised by coupling of pyrimidine and thiazole moieties in bacteria. RNAcentral also lists the same sequence under 1 other name. Lineage: Bacteria; Pseudomonadati; Thermodesulfobacteriota; Desulfuromonadia; Geobacterales; Geobacteraceae. The record is from RNAcentral.
CCAACUCGCUAGGGGAGUUUCGACUGAGAGUCCGACGCGCUGCUACGGACAACCCUUUGAACCUGAUCCGGAUAAUGCCGGCGUAGGGAAGCGUUCCACCAUGGUC